AAUGAACCGGCGAGUUACGAUUUGAUGCAAGGUUAAGCAGUAAAUGUGGAGCCGUAGCGAAAGCGAGUCUGAAUAGGGCGUUUAGUAUUUGGUCGUAGACCCGAAACCAGGUGAUCUACCCUUGGUCAGGUUGAAGUUCAGGUAACACUGAAUGGAGGACCGAACCGACUUACGUUGAAAAGUGAGCGGAUGAACUGAGGGUAGCGGAGAAAUUCCAAUCGAACCUGGAGAUAGCUGGUUCUCUCCGAAAUAGCUUUAGGGCUAGCCUCAAGUGAUGAUUAUUGGAGGUAGAGCACUGUUUGGACGAGGGGCCCCUCUCGGGUUACCGAAUUCAGACAAACUCCGAAUGCCAAUUAAUUUAACUUGGGAGUCAGAACAUGGGUGAUAAGGUCCGUGUUCGAAAGGGAAACAGCCCAGACCACCAGCUAAGGUCCCAAAAUAUAUGUUAAGUGGAAAAGGAUGUGGCGUUGCCCAGACAACUAGGAUGUUGGCUUAGAAGCAGCCAUCAUUUAAAGAGUGCGUAAUAGCUCACUAGUCGAGUGACACUGCGCCGAAAAUGUACCGGGGCUAAACAUAUUACCGAAGCUGUGGAUUGUCCUUUGGACAAUGGUAGGAGAGCGUUCUAAGGGCGUUGAAGCAUGAUCG
Molecule: ribosomal RNA, 645 nt
Filed under: Staphylococcus aureus
Lineage: Bacteria; Bacillati; Bacillota; Bacilli; Caryophanales; Staphylococcaceae
Description: partial 23S ribosomal RNA
Rfam family: Bacterial large subunit ribosomal RNA
Source: RNAcentral